AGGGAAUCUUCCACAAUGGACGCAAGUCUGAUGGAGCAACGCCGCGUGAGUGAAGAAGGUUUUCGGACCGUAAAGCUCUGUUGUUGGUGAAGAAGGAUAGAGGUAGUAACUGGCCUUUAUUUGACGGUAAUCAACCAGAAAGUCACGGCUAACUACGUGCCAGCAGCCGCGGUAAUACGUAGGUGGCAAGCGUUGUCCGGAUUUAUUGGGCGUAAAGCGAGCGCAGGCGGAAGAAUAAGUCUGAUGUGAAAGCCCUCGGCUUAACCGAGGAAUUGCAUCGGAAACUGUUUUCUUGAGUGCAGAAGAGGAGAGUAGAACUCCAUGUGUAGCGGUGGAAUGCGUAGAUAUAUGGAAGAAUACCAGUGGCGAAGGCGGCUCUCUGGUCUGCAACUGACGCUGAGGCUCGAAAGCAUGGGUAGCGAACAGGAUUAGAUACCCUGGUAGUCCAUGCCGUA
This 455-nucleotide ribosomal RNA is filed under the name uncultured bacterium. RNAcentral's name for it is "partial 16S ribosomal RNA". It matches the Rfam family "Bacterial small subunit ribosomal RNA", at positions 356 to 804 of the family's 1533-position model. The record is from RNAcentral.